This 253-nucleotide ribosomal RNA is filed under the name uncultured bacterium. RNAcentral describes it as "partial 16S ribosomal RNA". It matches the Rfam family "Bacterial small subunit ribosomal RNA", at positions 524 to 776 of the family's 1533-position model. The record is from RNAcentral.
UACGGAGGGUGCAAGCGUUAUCCGGAUUCACUGGGUUUAAAGGGUGCGUAGGUGGGUUGGUAAGUCAGUGGUGAAAUCUCCAGGCUUAACUUGGAAACUGCCAUUGAUACUAUCAAUCUUGAAUACCGUGGAGGUCAGCGGAAUAUGUCAUGUAGCGGUGAAAUGCGUAGAUAUCGUUUGGAACGCCAACGGUGAAAACAGCUCGCUGGGGGUGUGCUGACGCUGAGACACGAAAGCCAGGGGAGCGAACGGG